UAUACUGGAUGAAAGCCCUACCUCUCUCUCAUCAACACGGUUCCUCUGACCGUUCCUUGAUACACUAGUAUGUGUAUAAG
Non-coding RNA from Bacillus cereus Rock3-44, 80 nucleotides. NCBI's taxonomy places the organism in Bacteria, Bacillati, Bacillota, Bacilli, Caryophanales, Bacillaceae. The record is from Rfam.